This 144-nucleotide ribosomal RNA is filed under the name Drosophila austrosaltans. RNAcentral's name for it is "partial 28S ribosomal RNA". Lineage: Eukaryota; Metazoa; Arthropoda; Insecta; Diptera; Drosophilidae. The record is from RNAcentral.
UAUCAUUAACGUUAUACGGGCCUGGCACCCUCUAUGGGUAAAUGGCCUCAUUUAAGAAGGACUUAAAUCAUUAAUUUCUCAUACUAGAAUAUUGAUGCUCCAUACACUGCAUCUCACAUUUGCCAAAAGACAAAGUACUUAGGC